This 451-nucleotide ribosomal RNA is filed under the name uncultured bacterium. Its description in RNAcentral is "partial 16S ribosomal RNA". It matches the Rfam family "Bacterial small subunit ribosomal RNA", at positions 354 to 796 of the family's 1533-position model. The record is from RNAcentral.
GUGGGGAAUAUUGGACAAUGGGGGGAACCCUGAUCCAGCCAUGCCGCGUGUGUGAAGAAGGCCUUUUGGUUGUAAAGCACUUUAAGCGAGGAGGAGGCUACCGAGAUUAAUACUCUUGGAUAGUGGACGUUACUCGCAGAAUAAGCACCGGCUAACUCUGUGCCAGCAGCCGCGGUAAUACAGAGGGUGCGAGCGUUAUUCGGAUUUACUGGGCGUAAAGCGUGCGUAGGCGGCUUUUUAAGUCGGAUGUGAAAUCCCCGAGCGUAACUUGGGAAUUGCAUUCGAUACUGGGAAGCUAGAGUAUGGGAGAGGAUGGUAGAAUUCCAGGUGUAGCGGUGAAAUGCGUAGAGAUCUGGAGGAAUACCGAUGGCGAAGGCAGCCAUCUGGCCUAAUACUGACGCUGAGGUACGAAAGCAUGGGGAGCAAACAGGAUUAGAAACCCUUGUAGUCC